AAGCUAUCUGGAAUGAGUUUACAAGCAUUCAUGAGACAGAGGCAGCCUAACUCGUUAGCUGGUGAGUGGGGUGAAGCCUCCGACCCUCCACAGCUCCGGACCGAAGGCACCGAUGUCCCCAUGGUCAUCAUGCUGAAAGUGCACCAUACACGUGAAAGGACACGGGAUGCGCUCGUUCGAAAGGACCGGUGCUGCCUCGACUUGAUAAAAGAUGCCAGGAAGAAGAACCUGAGAGGAGCUUAGUAAACAGAUGAGCCGGUCCCAGCAGGAUGCCCGCUUCCUUGUUCACCUUGAGGGACCAGCAUGUCAUCUCAUCUCCAAACCGAAGAGCCCUUGAGAGCAAGACUGAGACACCUGCGUGUCCUUCUGGGCCUUGGAGACAGCCGUGAAUGGGGGCAAGGGGUGGUGGACCCAGGAAAGCAGGAGCAGAUUCUCAUCCCCUAAGGGUCUGGCACCCCCUAGCCCAUGUCCUGGUUGACACAGCCAAGGCCACCUAUACUUGACCAGGAUCCACCAGCCAAAGCCAAGUGCAUGGGGUCAAGGUCCCCGUGGAGUCGUGAGGUGCCUUAGAGUCAGGAGGGUCUUCCAUUCCUGGGCACGAGGUGGCCACAGAGGUGACAGAAAUGAAGCCCAGAGGUUGGGAAGAUGCAAGCAAGCCGUGCGUCUGAGCAGGAACCUUGGCUGGUCCCCAGCCUCUGCCGAGGGUGAUGGGUACCAGUCUCCUCCUCCCCCCUCCACGAGUGCUCCCCUCAGCCCUCUCUCCUCUAGCGCUCAGGAAACUCUGCGCCCCCAGGCCCCUUGCACUUAGAUGGGGUGCUUGGCUACUCCUGGAUACCAGGCUGUGAGAGGAAUUGUGUGCCACCUCUGGGUGGGGGCAUGUGUGUGUGUGUGUGUGUGUGUGCUCUCCACAGGCAUCCCCACCCUGCUGUGAAGGCAAAGGGGACCUCCUAUGGAGACAGCUGAGUCAGGACACGGGAGCAGCCUGCAGGGCUGGGUCCUUGCAUGGGGACAGCUAGGUCCCCGCAUGGGGACAGCUGCCCAGUGAAGUCACAUGCCCGGUAAAGUCACAACAUUUUGCAGGCGUGAAAAAUAAACUUUUGCAGUUAAAGCAACUGAGAUUUGGGGAGAUGUUUGUUGCCGCAGCAGAGCCCAGCCCAGCCCAACUAAUACACGUCGGUGGAGACAGGACCACCGUCCAAGGCCAGGCUCCCAGCCCCAGGUGCCUUAUCCACCAAAGGGAGGCUGUGAGGAUGAAGCGAGGCCAUGCUUGGGGAGAGCGUGGCCUGGUGCUAAGCCAAGGUCAGACAAGUGCGUGACAGCCAUUGUGUCUCCAAAGCCCCGGCUCUGGACGCUCAGGCGCACAGGCCAGUGUCCUGGCCAUCGUCAGCAUCUGUGCGCAGGAAGGAAAGACCGAGAGAGCUCCCAGGCCAGAUGGGGGCCAGGUUUGGGGAGAGCCUCGGGAGGGAGGCCGCAGGCCAAGUCCUGCGCCAGCCCCGGCGCUCAACAGCAGUCCCGAGGACUGUCAGCCGUCAUUGUCAUAUUCCCGUAAAUGCUGCGCAGAGUGAAAGGAAAGAAUUUCAAAUAACUGGGACCAGUAUUUAAUUAUUGUGAUUUAUUAACACCAGCUACACAGAGCAGGGCCGUGGACAUGACAUCCCUCGUUCCCCAGCGAGUCUGGGAGUCUGGUUGGCCUCCUGCCGCCUCCUGCACAACUCUUUUCAUUAUCAUCAUCCUGAUUAUUUACAACAGCCCGGCCGCUCAGGAGCAGGGCGAUCGCCGUCAAGUUCACAGCAAGUUCAAGGAUCGGCCAGGAGGCCUUGGGAGCAGGGGCGAAAAUCAGAGAAGGCCUGGCGGUUGGGAAAAGGGGACUGGUGGCCGGAGGGGCUCCAGGGCAGGAGGGUAAACAUGCAAUCAGGACUAAGGGGGGUGUUUAGGGGGUGGAAGGGGGUCUACUUGCAGAAAGGUGGGCUGGAGCGACCGCUCCUCCUCUGUCAUCUCUUCCCACACCCUCCUCUUCCCACUCAAUCCUUGUGUUCGUAGAACAGUCAUGUUUUGAGCAGCCGGCAGAACCACCCCCCACAUGGGGAGAACGGUUUGUUUGGUGGUUACAGCUGCUCUUCUGCGAGGCUUUGUCUGAUAUCUCUCCCACACCAUGCUGCUAUUCCUCAUUGACACAACUCUGCGAUUCCAGUGUUGGUCCCUGUUUUACAGGGGAGAACACUGAGCCUCAGAAACUUGGCCCAGCGUCGCGGAGCUUAUGGGAAGCACCCAGGACCCAUGUCUGUCUCACCAUCUGUACUUUGCAUAGUUAUCUCUUAUUUGAAUGGGAUUCCGUUUUGUUGGUUGGUACAAGCUUUUGAAAUGGGCCUUCCUUACCCCCAUCUCUGUGCCUGGAGAGAGAAAAGGUUAAGAAUUUCAGCCCUAAACACAGUGACUGAAGAGUAGGAAGACGUUAGGACUGGAGUUCCCAUCGUGGCACAGCGGAAACAAAUCUGACUAGGAACCAUGAGGUUGUGGGUUCGAUCCCUGGCCUCGAUCACUGGGUUAAGGAUCCGGCGUUGCUGUGAGCUGUGGUGUAGGUCACAGACGGGGCUCAGAUGUGACAUUGCUGUGACUCUGGCGUAGGCCAGCAGCCACAGCUGCGAUGAGACCCCUAGCCUGGAAACCUCCCCAUGCCGCAGGUGUGGCCCUAAAAAAAG
This 2699-nucleotide long non-coding RNA is filed under the name Sus scrofa (pig). RNAcentral's name for it is "lncRNA (ENSSSCG00040005468.1)". Lineage: Eukaryota; Metazoa; Chordata; Mammalia; Artiodactyla; Suidae. The record is from RNAcentral.